GAGCUGUGAUGAUAUUAGGCUUUAGCGAUGGUUGGGUCCAUCGCACUCUUCUGAACCACAGGUUGAGAUUUGCCGCACCCUGAGCUC
Molecule: small nucleolar RNA, 87 nt
Organism: Raphanus sativus (radish)
Lineage: Eukaryota; Viridiplantae; Streptophyta; Magnoliopsida; Brassicales; Brassicaceae
Product: small nucleolar RNA snoR114
Exons: 1
Source: RefSeq, a predicted model, not a curated record